GCCUGGGUGGCUCAGUCGGUUAAGCAUCUGACUCGUGAUUUUGGCUCAGGUCAUGAUCUCAUGGUUUGUGGGUUCAAGCCCCACAUCGGGCU
This 92-nucleotide transfer RNA is filed under the name Felis catus (domestic cat). It matches the Rfam family "tRNA". Rfam says of the family: Transfer RNA (tRNA) molecules are approximately 80 nucleotides in length. Their secondary structure includes four short double-helical elements and three loops (D, anti-codon, and T loops). The record is from Rfam by way of RNAcentral. Lineage: Eukaryota; Metazoa; Chordata; Mammalia; Carnivora; Felidae.